AGAAUGAACGCUGGCGGCGUGCUUAACACAUGCAAGUCGAACGAGGCGGAGGGGGCAACCCCUCCAGUCGAGUGGCGGACGGGUGAGUAACACGUGGGUAACCUGCCCGGAAGUGGGGAACACCUCGGGGAAACUCGAGCUAAUACCGCAUGACAUCUUCGGGACGAAAGUCCUGACGAUCAAAGCGGGGCCGCAAGGCCUCGCG
This 205-nucleotide ribosomal RNA is filed under the name uncultured soil bacterium. RNAcentral's name for it is "partial 16S ribosomal RNA". It matches the Rfam family "Bacterial small subunit ribosomal RNA", at positions 26 to 217 of the family's 1533-position model. The record is from RNAcentral.